RNAcentral lists this ribosomal RNA (440 nucleotides) under uncultured bacterium. RNAcentral's name for it is "partial 16S ribosomal RNA". It matches the Rfam family "Bacterial small subunit ribosomal RNA", at positions 338 to 795 of the family's 1533-position model. The record is from RNAcentral.
CCUACGGGUGGCUGCAGUGGGGGAUAUUGCACAAUGGGGGGAACUCUGAUGCAGCGACGCCGCGUGGGUGAAGGAGCGUUUCGGCGCGUAAAGCUCUAUCGGCAGGGAAGAAGAUGACCGUACCUGACUAAGAAGCCCCGGCUAAUUACGUACCAGCAGCCGCGGGAAUACGUCGGGGGCAAGCGUUCUCCAGAUUUACUGGGUGUAAAGUGGGCGCAGGCGGCUAGGCAAGCCAGGAGUGAAAGCCCGGGGCCCAACCCCGGGAGUGCUCUUGAAACUGCAUGGCUGGAGUGCAGGAGGGGCGGGCGGAAUUCCUAGUGUAGCGGUGAAAUGCGUAGAUAUUAGGAGGAACACCGGUGGCGAAGGCGGCCUGCUGGACUGUGACUGACGUUGAGGCCCGAAGGCGUGGGGAGCAAACAGGAUUAGAUACCCUAGUAGUC